GAUGCUCACACAACUAUCAUUUGUGCAGUACCUGGUGUCCAGGUAAGCUCUAUCAAAUAACAUCUCGCUUUAAGUAUCAAAUAUCUUUGAAAGAUAUCUGAAGGUCAAAACAGACCCUAUGAUCAGCUGUCCUGCCAUUUUGUUUGAUUGGCAUUCAGUGCUAGUCCUACUCAGAGUAGACCUACUGAAGUUAAGCGACAUUACUGACAGGUUUAUUAAAUUCAGUGGGUCUACUUUAGUAGGACUUUAGUUGAAUGUAAUCAUUUGUUUUCAAGGCAAAACAGCUUCCUAUGUGCCUCCCCCGCCCCUGUAAAUAACAGUUUGUAUAGGUAAUUUAUAUCACUGCUUAGAUAUUUUUCUUAUUAAUAAGUGGUUUAUAAAUGCUUCAAAUAGAAAUAAAAUGAAUAUCAGAAGAAUGAUGCACUGAGAAAGCAUUAAACAACCCCCAUUUCCUGCUGUGUCAGGCAGUUUGGAUUGUAUUUUUGUACUUAAUGGAAAAUGGUUCUGAAUCCUGCGAUGGAUAUCACUGAUAUCGAAUUAGAAGGCACUCUUUAUAGCACAGCAGUUAAUUGGGAGUUCUUGAUUCCAUUACCUGUAUUUUACCUGGAACAUGUCAAUGAUCAAAUUGAGAUUUUUUGUGAUUCAUUAUAUUAAUACUGUAAAGGCAGAAUGACCACCCACCCAAGGGCCUGUUGAAAUUCAUUUCAUUUGCUUGGCCAGAGUGACAUCAACCACCAUAACAGAGGAUGACCAACUGAAUUCGCAGCUCUGCCUGAGGCUGAAAACCUGAAAAGACACGAUGGCACGGCAACAGCAGAGAAGAAAUAGGCGAAGAAUGAUUCGCCUUAGGAGACAACAGCGUAGCAGGAAACCGGCUGCUCGAAGACUCCCGAGGCAGAUGAGAGCAGGUUUUUAAAACAUUACUAAACUGGGGUUUUGUGAAGCAUCCAGUAAGAUUAACAUUGAGGGUUAAAAAUCUCCAGAGGUAGCACUGAGAGUGAGGAAGCAAUUAGGCCACUUUGCAUUAAACACAAUUAUUUCUCAGAAGCAUGUCACUUAUUUGUUUUAUUCAUCUGCUGUCAACACCCCCCCCCAAAAAAAAAUCACCUUAGAGACUCUUUUCUUAUAAGUUAUGCACAAAGCACUAUAUAAUAAAAAGAACAAAUUCAGCUAAGUUAGUUGAAUUUCUCUCCUUUGAAAUUAACCAGCUACUUUAGUUAUGACAGGUCAUUAGUUAUAACAGGACAUAGAUAUAUAUAUAUGAAUGAAAAGUAUCCAUUAGAAACAAUUGGAAAGGAUGCCAGUUUUCUUACAAAUUAAAUUCUAUUUGAGCAUCCAAGCUUCCCUACCGCACACUCAGAGUUUUAAAUUGUGUGGGGUGGCUCCAUGACUAGAGAGGCUUCCCACUUCUUUGAGGGCUACAAACACACACACACACACACGCAAACACACACCACAUGUCUUCUUACAUGUGAGGAGACUGAAUACCCAAAUAGGGCUUAAGUUUUGCCAAGAGCAGGCUUUUGACCACCAUGAUGAAGUUUCUCUCCCUGCACCCAUCAUGCCUCUACUGAACCCUAAAAUAUCCUCCCUGUAAAAACCGCUCACAAUGUAAUGUUCCAAAGGUAUUUUAUAUGACUUGCUAAACCUCUAAGGAUUAAUCAUCCGAGGAGGAAACGAGGUGCUCCGUUCCAGACCUGGCACCAUGUGACAGGACAGGGGAGUCCAUAUGUAAGAAUAUGAGACCCACAUAGAUCUCUUCUUCAUUAGCUGGUGAAUGGUCAUGUGAUUCAACCCACAGCCUAUCAUUUGCUGAGGUUUUCUAUUGGACAUAUUGUAAGCCAUAGCAAGUCCCACAAUUCUUGAGCUGGCACUACUUGAGGAGCAACAAUAUCAUCAUUAUGAAAUCAAAUGAACUGAUGGUGUGGUGGCACGAGUCUUUUAUGGGGAGAAAUAAAGAUAAUCUGGAGCUUUGUUCGAUCCCUUUGCCCACAUUUAUUUCUAUUUUCCCUCUUUCUGUCUACAGGCAGACACCAGUCCCAUUACCGGAGAGCCUCAGCUGCAGUCUAGCCUAGGUCACUUUCUGUAGUGAGGCAACUGCUGCAAACGGAAGGAAAAUACCGUGCCAGAAACCAGGAUGAAGCACCAGGCUGGUGGAAGCAUGCACUGCACUCAAUAAACCAUUUGAAUGGCAC
Molecule: long non-coding RNA, 2195 nt
Filed under: Podarcis lilfordi (Lilford's wall lizard)
Lineage: Eukaryota; Metazoa; Chordata; Lepidosauria; Squamata; Lacertidae
Source: RNAcentral